GAUGAACGCUGGCGGCGUGCCUAAUACAUGCAAGUCGAGCGAACGGACGAGAAGCUUGCUUCUCUGAUGUUAGCGGCGGACGGGUGAGUAACACGUGGAUAACCUACCUAUAAGACUGGGAUAACUUCGGGAAACCGGAGCUAAUACCGGAUGAUAUUUUGAACCGCAUGGUUCAAAAAUGAAAGACGGUCUUGCUGUCACUUAUAGAUGGAUCCGCGCUGCAUUAGCUAGUUGGUAAGGUAACGGCUUACCAAGGCAACGAUGCAUAGCCGACCUGAGAGGGUGAUCGGCCACACUGGAACUGAGACACGGUCCAGACUCCUACGGGAGGCAGCAGUAGGGAAUCUUCCGCAAUGGGCGAAAGCCUGACGGAGCAACGCCGCGUGAGUGAUGAAGGUCUUCGGAUCGUAAAACUCUGUUAUUAGGGAAGAACAUAUGUGUAAGUAACUGUGCACAUCUUGACGGUACCUAAUCAGAAAGCCACGGCUAACUACGUG
This 497-nucleotide ribosomal RNA is filed under the name uncultured bacterium. Its description in RNAcentral is "partial 16S ribosomal RNA". It matches the Rfam family "Bacterial small subunit ribosomal RNA", at positions 28 to 507 of the family's 1533-position model. The record is from RNAcentral.